ACAAAUAUCUGUGGAAACGUUGGC
This 24-nucleotide non-coding RNA is filed under the name Arabidopsis thaliana (thale cress). The record is from RNAcentral. Lineage: Eukaryota; Viridiplantae; Streptophyta; Magnoliopsida; Brassicales; Brassicaceae.